Molecule: non-coding RNA, 71 nt
Organism: Phrynosoma platyrhinos (Desert horned lizard)
Lineage: Eukaryota; Metazoa; Chordata; Lepidosauria; Squamata; Phrynosomatidae
Source: the annotation of a GenBank genome assembly
GCUAGUAUGGCUUAGUGGUUAGAGUAUUGGACUAUGACUCUGGAGACCAGGGUUCGAAUCACUGCUGAGCC